UUGGGGCCCCCCCUAUGGGGCUCCGCGCCCCACCUCUUUUUUUUUAACCCAUAAAUGCCCUACGGAACUUAAACUUCCGUAUUCUAUAAAAUAGAAUACGGAAGUUAAAAUUCCGUAUUAUAACUCUGACAGUCAUCACCUUUUCCACCAUUACUCCUCCCUCCACCAACCCCUCCACCAUUACUCCUCCGUCACCAACCCCUCACCAGCCCCCUUAACCCCCUCAAUGCCUCCAGACCACCCUCUCUCUCACCCUCUCCUACCUCACUUUCAUCCUCACUUCCAUUCUUCCUACCACCACCACCAACUCCUUCAUUGGCAAGCUCUCCACCAUUGGAUGCAAAAAGAUAGCAUUUGAGGGAUGACAGAAUCAUUUUUAUUUCAUGAAUCCCAAUUGAUUGAAGUUGGAUUGAACAAUGCUCAACCUGAAGAGGUGCCACCACCAGCAUUUGUACCCCCGUGUAUAAGUAUAGAUGUCUCGCAUUUAUUUACAACUGAUCAGAUUUUCCCUACCCGUGAUGAUCUUAUCAAUUG
Molecule: long non-coding RNA, 534 nt
Organism: Lotus japonicus
Lineage: Eukaryota; Viridiplantae; Streptophyta; Magnoliopsida; Fabales; Fabaceae
Exons: 3
Source: RefSeq, a predicted model, not a curated record